Molecule: ribosomal RNA, 478 nt
Filed under: Prevotella nigrescens
Lineage: Bacteria; Pseudomonadati; Bacteroidota; Bacteroidia; Bacteroidales; Prevotellaceae
Description: bacterial LSU rRNA
Rfam family: Bacterial large subunit ribosomal RNA
Source: RNAcentral
GGAAAGUAAUGAAGGGCGCAUGGCGGAUGCCUUGGCUCACGGAGGCGAUGAAGGACGUGUCAAGCUGCGAUAAGCCCCGGGUAGAUGCAAGCAAUCUCUGAUCCGGGGAUUUCCGAAUGGGACAACCCAGCACUCUGAAGGAGUGCUAUCCUGUUUUUUGUUCAGGAGGCUAACGCAGGGAACUGAAACAUCUUAGUACCUGCAGGAAAAGAAAAUAACUUAAUGAUUCCCCCAGUAGUGGCGAGCGAACGGGGAGUAGCCCAAACCCGCUGCGUUUCAAUGCGCGGUGGGGGUUGUAGGACCACGCCGUCGUACCCUGUGUGUGAGGAGAAUGUUCUGGAAAGAACGACCGUAGCGGGUGACAGUCCCGUAUCCGAAGCAUGAUGGGGCGUAGUGGUAUCCUGAGUAGCGCGGAGCACGAGUAAUUCUGCGUGAAUCUGCCGGGCCCAUCCGGCAAGGCUAAAUACUCCCGUGAGAC